This 30-nucleotide small RNA is filed under the name Bombyx mori (domestic silkworm). Its description in RNAcentral is "piRNA piR-bmo-1734724". Lineage: Eukaryota; Metazoa; Arthropoda; Insecta; Lepidoptera; Bombycidae. The record is from RNAcentral.
AGGCUCGGGUUCGAUUCCCGGUAUCGGAAC